Non-coding RNA from Zootoca vivipara (common lizard), 2632 nucleotides. NCBI's taxonomy places the organism in Eukaryota, Metazoa, Chordata, Lepidosauria, Squamata, Lacertidae. The record is from RefSeq and is a predicted model, not a curated record.
AGGAGAGCAGGAAGCCCCAUCAGCGGGGACGGACUCCCAGGCAUGGUCAGCGGGGCGAGGUUAUCCCACAUAGGAUGGGCCAACCUGGGGACGGAGAGGAGCUGUUUCCACAUGUCAUUUGCAAAGAACAAACAAGCCAGAGUGUCCCUCUCCUGACUUCCGAAGUUACAGCACAGCUAGAAGUUGGAGAAGAGUUGUUUCUGAAUCAUAGAGUUGGAAGAGACCACAAGGGCCAUCCAGUCCAACCCCCUGCCAAGCAGGAAACACCAUCAAAGCAUUCCUGACAGAUGGCUGUCAAGCCUCCGCUUAAAGACCUCCAAAGAGGUCUUUUUACAAUUUGAAUUCAAUGGAAUUACAACUGUUAUAACACUCGGUGGGGGGGGGGGAAUCAUUUCUAUGGUUCAUCAAGACACUCAGCAAUUUUGGGGGGGGGGGAGUGGGAGUUUCGGAACCACUGAAAUAGAAGUGAAAAGCAAUUAGGGGGUUGCGAGGGUGGGGAAACUACACAGGUAAUGUGCAUUGGGUGGAGACAUCCCUGCCCCCUCUCUGGUGUGUACAACAGUGUGCAAACCUGAGAUACACUGGGGGAAAUGGUCUUGCUGCAUUUUAAGCUGCUAAUACAUAGCCUCCGUUCAGAACCAGCUCAUUAUUUCUGACCUUAUCUCAGCAUGCAGACAUCCAUUUUAAAAGUCCAUCUGUUUCAGAGAGCUGUCUCCGAGUUUCUAAUAUUGGCACAUGCAAGCUGAUGGUGCUGUAUGCCAUGUUGCCCUUCAGAAUUAGAGCUCCCAGUGCCAUCCAUAGCUAUUUUGAAAUCCACCCCCACUCCUUCCCAAAAUAACUACAGUACAGAAGUCAGUUCUAGAUCUUGGUCAAACAUCUAGAUCUGGGUCAGAGUGUGAGCUGCAAACCCAAAAGUCUCCACUUCAAACCCUCCCUCAGCCAUGAACUAAGUAGUCUUAGGCUCAUAUCCUAAAUAGGGAGUAGUUCUGAGACCAUUCAUAGGAUUGCAUUGAUCUCUCUUAGCCUCAGUUUUGAAAUCAGGAGAACAUAAUAAUAAUAAUAUACCUGCUGUGCUGCUCCUUCAGAAGCAAUAGAUAAAUGCAAUUAUUAAGAAAGCAUCCGUGACUACUCAUGCACCACUCUCCAAAUUGCAUUAAUGUUCCACUUUCCAAAUUGCAUAAAUUAGGGAAAGCAACUUGCUGUAUAUCCCGUAGGCGCUUGUUAGAAUCCAGAGAAUCCCAGCCUUCAUUAAAAAAAUAAAUAAACUUACAUUCUUUAUGUUGCAGAGCUGCAGUUGAGGGCCAACUGGAACCUCAUCAGGGUAACCUUUCUGGGAGACUAUGAGAAUAAAGCUAGUGAAGGGGCUUGACAAGCUUUUGACAUAUAGCAGUGAAUGGGGAAGGGUGGCCCAGCAAAAGAGCUCCAGGAUCUGAUGCAAGCGGAAAACUUAUUUCACUUUGCAAAAAUGCCUAAGGCUGCAAUCCUAGACCCACUUAGUAGAGAAUAAGCCCCCUUGAAAUUGAGUUAUAAAUUACUUCUGAGUAGACAUAUAUAGGUAUGUACUGCGAGGCUCCUAUGGGCCUGCGUAAUUUAAUAAUGACUUAUUCGUAAGGGAUGAGGAACAACUAUAAAUCUGCUGCUAUGGUUAUUUAGAGGCAUUUGCAGCAUGGCACAGCCCUUACCAAAGUGGAGCCCAAAUGGCCCAGACAAGAAAAUACUUCUUUCUCAUGCUCCAGGUAUUCAUGUUACAAAACAAUUCUGAAAAACACAGAUUCUGAUUUUUUAAAAAAUUGUAAAAUCUGUUAACAUUAGGCAAAAUGAUACUUUUCUCUAAAUUCAGGUUUUCAUGGAAGGUCCUCUUGUCUGUUGUUUAAAGGAAAUGUUGGCAUAACAACAAUUUAUCAAUGUAGUGAUGACAUACACAGAUCAUGUAUGGUUUUACUAGCUAAAACUACCUGUAGUUGCUCAGGAAUUAUAAGAAAAGGGGGGGGGGAAAUUGGCGCUAUUUUGAAAUCAGUGUAACAUUUCAAUGUGAUUUUUAAAUGUUCAGUCUGCCAUCUUGAUUCAAAAUUGUGUCCAAUUGUAACCAAAAACAGACAAAAAACUUGCUCCUUGAUUAUCAGGAACCAUAAUGCACAUAUUAUUUGCAUUCCUCUCUUUGACUUUUUUAUUUUUAUAAGCUGCCACAAGAGCCAAUAAAAUAAAAGUAAAAGUAAACACUAAAUAUAUUUGUAUGAGUCUUUUUAAAAAGCUGUGUGUACAAAAGAGGGUAAUGAAAGAUCUGCAAAUGUAAAGUUAUAUCCUUUUCCAUACUCAGCAAUGGGGAAGCCCUACUUCUGUACUAGGAAUGCUGUCCUGUACACACACUUGCUUAGGAAGCUGAACAAGUAGGAUUACUUCUGGGUAAACAAGGACAGGACCUGUUGUAGGAAACCAGCUACCUAGAGCCGCAAUCCAAAGGAAAACUAGUCAUGUCAUCCUUAAGCCAUGACCAGUGGUAAAGGUAAAGGUAAAGGGACCCCUGACCAUUAGGUCCAGUCGUGACCGACUCUGGGGUUGCGCGCUCAUCUCGCAUGAUUGGCCGAGGGAGCCGGCGUAUAGCUUCCAGGUCAUGUGGCCAGCAUGACAAAGC